ACUGUUUAGUGACAGGCACAGAGCAAGCACCGAGCGCGGUGUCUGACACCUGUGAGGGGUGGCUCCAUGUUGCCAUCCUUCUGAGAACAGC
Small nucleolar RNA from Dromaius novaehollandiae (emu), 91 nucleotides. RefSeq annotates it as small nucleolar RNA U83B. Lineage: Eukaryota; Metazoa; Chordata; Aves; Casuariiformes; Dromaiidae. The transcript has a single exon. The record is from RefSeq and is a predicted model, not a curated record.